UACGGAGGGGGCUAGCGUUAUUCGGAAUUACUGGGCGUAAAGCGCACGUAGGCGGACUGAAAAGUCAGAGGUGAAAUCCCAGGGCUCAACCUUGGAACUGCCUUCGAAACUCUCAGUCUUGAGGUCGAGAGAGGUGAGUGGAAUUCGGAGUGUAGAGGUGAAAUUCGUAGAUAUUCGGAGGAACACCAGUGGCGAAGGCGGCUCACUGGCUCGAUACUGACGCUGAGGUGCGAAAGCGUGGGGAGCAAACAGG
Molecule: ribosomal RNA, 253 nt
Filed under: uncultured bacterium
Lineage: Bacteria
Description: partial 16S ribosomal RNA
Rfam family: Bacterial small subunit ribosomal RNA
Source: RNAcentral